This is an RNA transcript of Salmo salar (Atlantic salmon), 6372 nucleotides long. It is a transcript of the gene named protein quaking-B, with no coding region annotated. NCBI's taxonomy places the organism in Eukaryota, Metazoa, Chordata, Actinopteri, Salmoniformes, Salmonidae. The record is from RefSeq and is a predicted model, not a curated record.
CAAUCUUCGGGGACGCGCAGCUCUCUCUGGUACCACCCCCUUCCCCAUUUCGGUCUCUCUCUCCUUAUUUCUCCUUCUCUUGCAGUGUGAUGUGUGGUCAUAUGACAGGGUCUGAAUACCAACACACUCGACAUGAGCGAGGAGGCGUAAACCGGAGAAAACAAGUGGCUAAGUGUGUGUCGCGGACACUGAGAGAGAGUGAGCAGUUACUGGGGAACGCCUAUCUGACUGAAACUGCGGAGAAGAAAAUUAGUUUAAAGCAACGGGGGACACUAACUAACUAACUUUAACUAGACUUUAGGCAUAUCCAACACAGCGAAGUUAAAAAAAUAUAUAUAUUUACAAAUCGCCUCGCAUUAUUGCUUUCCCCUUUUCAGAGCGCUGUGUGCCAAAUCUCAGAAUCGGAAGAGGCUGGGGCUUGAGGAAGCAGUUUGGACAUAACUUUAAAAUAAAAGUAUAAUUUUUUGUUAAGCGUCAUUCUAGAGCGUCGGCCCUGAUUUUGGCUGGUAAACUUGAGUGGUGAGUUUGACAAUGGUCGGUGAGAUGAGUGAGCAGGUCCGGGAAAGACCCAGACCAAGGCCCAGCCCGGACUACCUGAUGCAGUUGAUGACAGACCGGAAGGUGAUGAGCUCGCUGCCCAACUUCACUGGCAUCUUCACUCACCUGGAGCGGCUCUUAGACGAAGAGAUAGGUAGAGUGCGCAAGGACAUGUAUAACGACUCAAUGAAUGGCGGUGUGGCUGCCGAGGGGCGGGACUCCGAGGAGCUGCCUGAUGGGAUUGGUCCAGUGGCUCAGCUGCAGGAGAAGCUCUACGUGCCCGUUAAAGAGUACCCCGACUUUAACUUUGUAGGUAGGAUACUGGGUCCAAGGGGUCUAACAGCCAAACAGCUGGAGGCAGAGACGGGCUGUAAGAUCAUGGUACGAGGAAAAGGAUCCAUGAGAGACAAGAAGAAGGAAGAGCUGAACAGAGGGAAACCUAACUGGGAACACCUGAGUGAGGAACUUCAUGUUCUCAUCACAGUGGAAGACUCACACAACAGAGCUCAGAUCAAACUACAAAGAGCUACCGCAGAGGUCAAGAAACUACUCGUACCAGCUGCUGAUGGAGAGGACAGUCUAAAAAAGAUGCAGCUAAUGGAGCUCGCCAUUCUCAACGGAACCUACAGAGACGCCAACAUCAAGCAACCCACUAUGGCCUUCUCCCUAGCCUCCUCUCAGCAGCCUCGGCUCAUCUCCAGCCCCUCCCCUGUCAUGCAGCAGGCUAUGCGAAGCCCCGCCCCUGGUCAACAGCCCAACCUCAUGCCUCACCUGAUUCGUCAGAUCCAGAGUCAGCAGGCCCUCAUGCAAGGAGCCAAUCAGCAUGCAGCACUGAUGCAGCAAUCACCUGAAUCAGGAGGGUUCUUCUACGCUCCCUACGAAUAUUCCCCCUACACCCUAACUCCAUCUAUACUAGAAUACCCCAUGGACACUACUGGUGUACUAGGUAUGGCUUUCCAAACCAAAGGCUGAGAGAUGAACUCUCUCCUACACAUGGACCUCUCUCACACACACACACACACACACACACACACACACACACACACACACACACACACACACACACACACACACACAGGAAAGGCUUAUCUGAAAUGGGCCUCUUGUCUGUCUGUCUUAAUGAUUCUGUCACUGUUUGAUGAUGUCAUUGUUAACCUCCUGUGUUUUGGUGAUGUGGUUGCGCGGUGAGCAGGAGCGAUGACGGCUCAGGUGCAACGCCACAAUAUGAGAGCCCAUCCUUACCAAAGAGUAGUGAACACCGACAGAGGUCAGUUAGAUCACCAGACUGUCUGCCACGGCAACUAACCCCUGACCUCUGCCCACUGAUGACCCACCCGACUCCGCCUGUGCCUCGCUCGUUGCCAUGCUCUGGACAGCAGCCACGCCCCUCCCCCAGAGUCACCUCUGCCUAACCAACCAGAGACCAGCGGCCAUGGUAACGACCCUUCAGGACCCAAUCAGGACCCAGUCACCAGCCACACCCACCCAAACACUACACUAUCAAGCCAUGUGCCCCUUUUAUAGGAAACCCCACAGCCAAACCACCCAACCACAACCCGCUUUAACCAAAUCUCCCCAAUCUGCACUGGUCAGAAAACCUGGCUCUAUUCCUUGCCCUGCACUGAGUCGAUGAGGAGCUAUAAAAUUAUAAUAAUUCAAUCAUCCAAAUAAUAACAGUCAUAUGUGUGAUCAUAAUUAUACUUGUUCGAGCACACUGACCCUCCACGCCCACUAGUCUGACUGUCCCUGUUCUCAAAACGUUACUGUCACACAAAACGUUACUUAGAUCGGGUUUACCAGGUCACACCAGUUUCACACGAUGUCCUCUCUAAGACUGUUGCACCAUGCCUGCCUUUCUACAGUGAGCUGAGCCUAUCUAAUGUGUAAGAUCUAAGCUCUUCAGGUAUAGUCUCAACCACAACGUUACAGUAUUAUAGAAAUGCGGAGAACAAAGUGCCUUUUAGUUAUUUAAAUAGAUCUGUUACAGACCAGCCUUUUUAUGAAGGCUUUCUAAUCUCCAUGAAAGAGGAAUAACCUGACGCCAUCUUGUCUAUCUCUCGACACAGUGAAAGAGAUGUGGUGUAUUUUACAGAAACCAUCUCAAUGUUGGGGUUUAACAUAAACCCACACGUCUUCUGGGUUUAGAGUGAAGUGCCAAAUGGUCAGUUCCUUCCGUUAGUGCAGUAGGACCUUCUCAGAACAGUAUUAAUGUUGUGUGUUUAUCUUAUUUUGGGGAGUGAUGUUUAUGUAUUUCUGUGCGUGUCUGCCUUUGAGAACACACUCUAUCGUAUAGUGUUGUGUUAUUAGAUGUGUGUGUGUGUGUGUGUGUGUGUGUGUGUGUGUGUGUGUGUGUGUGUGUGUGUGUGUGUGUGUGUGUGUGUGUGUGUGUGUGUGUGUGUGUGUGUGUGUGUUACAUAUUUGAGCCCCUAACUCACCUCUUGCCAAGCGGUUGUUUUUACUCCACACAAACCGUCUCCUUCAAGACAAAACAUGGACACUACUGUACAUGUAUAACAUCUGUAACAUCUGUUUUAUAAUACAAUUUUAUAUUAUAUUUUUUAUGUGAGAAAUAACAUUAAAUUAUGUUUUCAGAUAAGAACAGUAUACCUUACUAUGAAUAUAUUUUUUCAUUCAGUUUAAGAGCUAAUAUUGCCUCCAACCAAUGUGCCAUUCACAAAGUGUCCGGAGUGUUUUUAAAGUCCUGAUAUACUGAAAACCUUCACAUUUUCUGUAAGAUUCUUGUUUUUCAAGUUCAUCUCAGUGUUGCUUACCUUCUGUAACUUCUGUAUGUAAAGAAGGAUGAUUAACUCUGUAGUACUGAAUAUUAAUCUACUCUUUGUACUAACUGACCAGUCCUGUACUUUUAACCGCUUUACUCAUAUCUGUCUCUGCUUUGGUUUCUUUUCAAAUAUAAACUGUGUGAAUCAGAUAAUUAAAAAGUGUUGUUAAUGUUUAACUUUUUAAAAGCUGGUAAAAAAAAAAAUAACUCUUUGUACUGGAAAACGAUAACAUAUUAUUAAACUGGUAGUUUAAAAAAACUAACAAACUUUGUCACUUUUCUCUGUAGCAUCUAAAGUUUCCUCAGAGCUUCCUUUCUGUGUACUAAUCUUAGACACACUGCAGAUACUAUUGGAAUACACUUAUAUGCUUUAGAAAGAAAGUACGCUAGACAUACUUGUUUCCCCUUCCCCCUCAUCUCUCUGGCUCUCUCCCACUCAAACAGCUAGACAGAUUUUAAAAAGGAGAUUCCAAGAUGAUGGGCAAUCUGAAGCAAAUCGAUUGUGCAACCUAACCUCACUCACUCACUCACUCACACCUACCUACCCACACACAAACAUGCAAACGCAUCUGCUGAGCGAACUAUACUGGAACACUGUGGCUCUCCCUAACGUAUAGUAUCUCUCUCAUUCCACGGUUAAUUACAGCCAUGUGUCAUAUUUUAACUGGUGUACAUUCUCUCUCUCAAAGACUGCACCCAAGCACACAUACGGUAUAUAGACCUAUAAAAUAUUUAUUUGACAGGGCUGUCAGUUGGUUGUUCUCUCCCUGCCCUUCCUGCACCCUCUCUGGGUGUAACGAGGUAAUUGAGCCCCAGGCUUGGCUCUGGGCCUGUGUUCUGGAUACUGCCCCUGCAGCUGUUGGGGGAGAAGGAGUAUGAUCUGGCAACCCGCUGGACUAGAGUGUGGGAGCAAGAACAUCAAUAUGACAUUCCUAUGGAAGGAGAGUGGGCUAAAAGAGAAAGAUUGAGAAUGAGUGCGAGGGAGAAGAAGAAAUGCCAAGGAAGAGAAGAUAAAGGUUUGCCUUUCCCCAUAUGCUCCCUUUUCCUACUGCGUCAUUCUCCCAUUUGGGGUUUGAGGCAGAUGCACCUGUCAGAAACAUCUAGAACACUGUGUGUGUGUGUGUGUGUGUGUGUGUGUGUGUGUGUGUGUGUGCGCGCACGCGCUCUCGAUUUUGGCUGUUCCUGUUUUGUCUAGUUUUAUGAUGUUCAGUCCAGGAUCCAGUGAUGGAAAAAGUACCUUAAUAGAAAAUUACUCAAGUGAAAGUAACCCAGUAAAAUACUAUUUGAGUAAAAGUCAAAGUAUUUUGUUGUAAAUAUACUUAAGUAUCAAAAGUAUAUGUAAUUGCUCAAAUAUACUUGGGUAUCAAAAGUAAAAGUAUAAAUCGAUUCAAAUUCCUUAUAUUAAACAAAACUGGGUAGCCAGGGGCACACCUACACUCAUACAUAAUUUACAAACGAUGCAUUUGUGUUUAGUUAGUCAGCCCGAUCCGAGGCAGUAGAGAUGACCAGGAUGUUCUCUUGAUAAGUGUGUGAAUUGGACUAUUUUCCUGUCCUGCUAAGCAUUCCAAAUGUAACAAGUACUUUUGGGUGUCAGGGAAUAUGUACAUUAUUUUCUUAACAAAUGUAGUGAAGUAAAAGUUUUCAUAAAUAUAAAUAGUAAAAGUAUUUUUUCUUAAGUACUUAACACCACUGCCAGGAUCUCCAUGUGGUAAGCUCCUCUCCUCUCUGUCUAAUCUAGCCUACAGACAAUACUAGCCCACAGCUUCCAACACUCGGAUAACCAUGUCAUUGCUACCUUGAAAGGAAAUUCCAUAUAGCAAGUCAAAACGUACAAAUAUCUGGGAGUUUGAGUGAAUGAGAAGCUGAGCUUCACUAAUCAUGUUGAGAAGCUGGUAAAGAAGCUCAAGUUGGGCCUCCCGAGUGGCGCGGCGGUCUACGGCUUCACUACAGACGCAGGUUCGAUCCCAGGCUGUGUAACAGCCUGCCGAGACCCAUGAGGCGGCACACAAUUGGCCUAGCAUCGUUCGGGUUAGGGGAGUGUUUGGCCGGCCAGGAUUUCCUCCCAUCACGCUCUAGCGACUCCUUGUGGAGGACCGGGCGCCUGUAAGCUGACCUGGGUCGCCAGCUGGACGGUGUUUCCUCCGACACAUUGGUGCGGCUGGCUUCCGGUUUAAGCGAGCAGUGUCAAGAAGCAGUGCAGCUUGGCAGGGUCGUGUUUUGGAGGACGCAUGGUUCUCGACCUUCGCCUUUCCCAAGUCCAUAGGGGAGUUGCAGCGAUGAGACAAGACUGUAACUACCAAUUGGAUAUCACGAAAUUGGAGAGAAAAAAUUGUAAAAGUAAAAAAAUUAAAAGAAGCUCAUGUUGAGAAUAGGUUUUUAUUACCUUCAUAAGGCUUGUUUUUCUUUGGAGCCAGAAAAGCACUGAUACGGCGUACAUUCCUGUCUGUGUUGGACUACAGUGAUGUAAUUUACAUGCAAACCUCAAGUUCUACCCUGAAGACACUUGAUUCUGUGUAGCAUGCAGCCUUUAAGAUUGCCACCAACCAACAAUUUGUCAGGGCAUGGAAUCUACAAGGUGUGGAAAGCGUUCCACAGGGAUACUGGCCCAUGUUGACUCCAAAUCUUCCCACAGUUGUCAAGUUGGCUUGAUGUCCUUUGGGUGGGUGACACUACACACAGGAAACUGUUGAGCGUAAAAAAUCCAGCAGCGUAGCAGUGUUGCAGUUCUUGACACAAAACAAUGUGCCAGGCACCUACUACCAGACCAUAGCUGAAACACCAGAAUCUUGUUUCCUUGGAGUUUAAACAUUUGCUUGACUCACAUGUUACUGAGGAAUGUGAUUGUCAUUAGGACUUCAUGCGGUGGUACAUACGUUUGAAUGUUUCUGUAAUUGUAACGCAUAAAUGUUGUUUAUGGUGUGUCUAUGCCUGAUAUUUGUCUGAAACAUGGUUCCCCCUGUCUUGUUUGGACCAGGUCUCACUUGAAAAAUGCAUUUGAUCUCAAUGAGAUUAACCUGGAUAUAUAAAGGCUAUAUCAAAUAAAAUUUUAAAACACA